AAAAACAUAUGCUCAAAAACUUACAAGAUAUUUUUGAAUGACCUUUCUCGGUCAUAAAUGCACAAAAAAAGGAAUCUUGCCAGAUGACAAGAAAUAUGACGUCAUCAAAAACUAUGCAGUCCCGCAUGACGAUUCAAAUAGAAUUGCCUAGGCAAUCUCUAGAAAAAGCUUCAAAGCCCAACGUAUAUGAAGUCAUUAACAAUGACGAAGUACGCAAAGUAGUGACCUUGCAUGUAAAAAAUAAUUUCUGUUUUUUCAAACAUGGAAAA
This is a long non-coding RNA of Drosophila guanche, 269 nucleotides long. RefSeq lists it as uncharacterized. Lineage: Eukaryota; Metazoa; Arthropoda; Insecta; Diptera; Drosophilidae. The transcript is spliced from 2 exons. The record is from RefSeq and is a predicted model, not a curated record.